AACAGUAGCCCCUCGCAAUAUUAAUUUGCUAGAAUGAUAAAUUUAGAUUGCGACAUCGACGAAGGCCUUAAGCCGAAGGUCCGAAAAAACACCUUCCCUUUGCUAGAAUAGCAACAUUCACUGACAAGCGGGGUCUUCCAAUUUUCAAUGCACUGGGUGUAUAAAUAAGAGUAUACUACGAGCUCAUUUGAUACGCUUUCUUGCCAUCUGCUCUUGCUUACUUAAUUUUUAGCUCUUGGGCACCAACACUUGUUUGGCUUUUUAAGUUUUUAAGCUUCAGCUUUGAAGAUAGUUUUUUAGUAUUUUCGAAGAUGUCUGAAGAUAAAAAAGGCUGCUGUCGAGAUAAAGCUGAGUCUCUCUGAAGAGAAAAACCUGGGGUUUCUUGAAGCAAUGUCGAAGACCAAUACAGAAAAGAUCACCAAAGAGAUUUUAGAAGGUUUAUCCGAAGGUCCUCAAAAACAUGAUUUAACAAUGUUUCUGGAGUAUAACGUGUGAACAGGUAUCUUCGGACUCGAAUCGGCACCACAGUAGGAGAAGCCCAAAGAAUACGAAGGUUGAUACAGCGUCGAAACUGUGAGCAGGAAAGCUUCGACGUGAUAGUAGAAAAGGAAACCGAAUUAAAGAUAAAAAGGCUAUUCAGACCUCGGUAGAUUACUAUAGAAUUACUACCAAAUGUAAAGGGCAUGGGUGUAAUUUUACAUGGGUUGUGUCCCGCGCCUAUAAAUAGGUGAACAGUGCCCCCGUACUGUUCACGAUGACUUGGCAUUUGCUUUUGCGUCACGCUUGUAUUUUUACCUUCUUUUAAGCCGAAGGUACAUUUGUAAUUUGAUAUCAUUUCUAUUUUUCCAUAAUAAUAAUAUAGAAAUGAGUUGAUAAUAAUAUAUAAUUGUUUACGUUAUCCUCUAUAUUUCAUAUGUUUUCUUCUUCAUUAUUAUAUGUUGUGUUUAUGAAGGUAUGUCCUUCAUAACCUUCGUCCAAAAAUCAUUAUAUCCCCAAGGGAAAUAAUGCUUCGAAGGACGAAAGACUUUAACGUUUAACAUUUUUUGUGUUGCCUUGUUCUUAACUCAUAGCAUUUGAGAAUAAGUCCCCAACAUUGGCGCCCACCUCCGGUGAACUCACUUCCACUAUUUGAGUUUUGAACACCUUCGGCAAUCAUAAACCUUCGCUAUGGCGCCGAAGAAAGCUUCAGCAACUGGGGCUGCAGCUCUGCAACCGCUGGACCCCAAUCAGGAGACUCUCUCCCUUCGGGAGGCCCGAAGCCAGAAGAGGAAGGCUAUCAGCCCGACACUGCCAGAGGAUGAGCUAGACCAAGAAAUCAGAGACAUGGAGAUGCUUCAUCAACAGGUGCAGAAGAAGAAGGAAAAGAUGGCCAGGCUAGCUGAACUGCAAAGGCAGAUAGACGAAGCCUCUGAAGAAGUUCGUCAUCUUACUCAGGAUGAGCAGAACCGAAGGCCUCAGCAUAAAGACCUUCAUCAGGAGGGUUUCUUCAACGAAGAUGACUGGUAUGAGAAUUUCCACCAUGAGAAUUUUGCUUUUAAUGAUGCUUCUCCUCUGUCCGCUGAGCUGCAGGCUAUACCUUGGCCUCCGUCCUACAAGCCGCCUCAGCUUCCCAUAUUCGACGGCCAUUCAGACCCGAAGCAGUUUUUGAUGAGCUACGAAGCAACAGUAUCUUCGUAUGGUGGCAAUACUGCAGUCAUGACAAAAUCUUUUGUUAUGGCUGUCAGGAGUGUUGCUCAAACCUGGUAUUCCUCCCUUCGACCAGGAACGAUCACUUCAUGGCAAAAGCUGAAGGACAUGUUGUUAACCAGCUUCCAAGGGUUUCAGACGAAGCCGGUCACUGCUCAAGCUCUAUUCCAGUGCACCCAGGACCACGAAGAAUACCUUCAGGCGUAUGUCCGGAGGUUCUUGCGUUUGAGGGCACAGGCACCAACAGUGCCCAACGAAAUUGUCAUUGAGGCCAUGAUCAAGGGACUUCGGCCAGGACCUUCAGCUCAGUACUUUGCUAGGAAGCCUCCUUAAACUUUGGAGAAGCUGCUCCAGAAGAUGGACGAGUAUAUUCGUGCUGACAAUGAUUUUCGUCAAAGAAGGGAGGAGGCUUUCAGGUUUUCCGAAAUGACCAGGGGCUUCGGAGGAAGAUUUUAUCCGAGGCACGUUAGGUCAAUUUACAACUCUACUCAAAAUGAUGAUAAGGGAAGUCAGCAGCAAAGGCCACAGUGCUCCUCACAGGUUUCGGGACAACAACAAAGCUCCUUCCGGCCGCCAGCUCCAAGAGGCAGAGGCGCCAGGGGCUUCGGCGGAAGAUUUGGAGAUCAACCAAGGAGAAUAUUUUGCUUGUUCUGUGGUGAAAACAAGGGCCAUACCACCAGGAUGUGCCAUGUUACCAUCCAGAAGCAAAAGGAGAUAGCCGAAGCUGCAGCACAACAUGGUCAGCCGAAGCAGAUCAUGCACACUGCUUCGUAUCAUUCGCCUUAUAUCCCAGGAUAUGUAAGCAACCACCCUGCAGUUUCUGUUGCUUCGGCGAGUCAACCUCAAGCUUCCUGGCAACAGCCUCCGCCUCCACCACCGAUGCAACAAGGCCAGCAGCCAGAAGGGGGCCAAUAUGCUCAACAACAAAGGGACUUCAGAGAACAGUCCGAAGCUCGCACAGUCAAUAGCACUGUGCCAGAGUCGAAGCAUAUUUAUUGACAAAUAUCCUACCUUGAUAGUAGUCUUUUCCAUUCAGUUUUAUUUUCUGUGUAAUAAAGGACACUUUUUAAAUCUCAUGUAAUAGUUUCAUUGUUUGCCACAAGGAAAAUGUAUCUUCCCCACAGGCUUAAGUUGUUGAAGCUUAAAGAUUUGCGAUAGCAAGGAGGACCUUCGAAUUAUUAAAAAUUUAUUUUAAAAGGCACGGUAUGAAUUCUUCGAAGCAACAAAAAGUCGUUCUAAGGAACGCAGAGUAAGUUUGCUGAAGUUACAAAAAGCCGUUCCAAAUGGAGCGUAGUGUAAGUUUUCUGCACCAAAGUCGUUCCAAAGGAAAUGCAGAGCUUACAGCGAAAAAUAAACGCUGAUACCGCCUAAGUAAAAGGCGAAGCGCGAAAAGUCAACGCAAAUACCGCCGAAAGUAAAAGGCGAAGAAGCUCCUAAGGGAGGCUUACAGCGAAAAAUAAACGCUGAUUCCGCUGAAGUAAAAGGCGAAGAAGCUCCUAAGGGAGGCUUACAGCGAAAAGUCAACGCUGAUUUAAAAAGAUUAUGUGUUUUAUUGCGGGGAUGUGCGUGUAUCUUCGGAAUAAAUACCAUUUUACAUAGCAUAACAUCAUCACAUCAUUUCGUAUAGCAUAAGCAUCAUACAUCAUGCUGCAUAUGGCAUAAGAAGGGGACACAAUAUCGAUCUUCGGAAGAAUGCUUUGAAAAAGGGAAAACAUGCUAAGUCACAAGGAGAUACAAUAUUGAUCUUCGGAAUGUAGAUUCGGAGAAUAUUUUCACGAAGCUUGGAUAUUUUUCAUCAGAACACUAUGGGUAUUGUUGUGAUAAAUGAAAAUUCUUCUUCACGAAGCAUGAAAAGAAGGGAAGGUGUUUUUUCGUCAAAGACUCAAAAAAGGUACGUAUGUAAAAUUUCAUGCAUCGUAAAGAAUUGAACCAUAAAAAACAAGUAUAUUACAUUCAGAGUUAUAAAAUAUUACACAUAUUACAUUUCAGAAGUUUUUACAAUAACACUUAGUCUUCCUUAAGUACAACUUCCGCAGCUUCGUUCAGGAGUUGAUUAACAACUUGAUCCAUGAUAGCUUCAGCCAUCUUUUUAAUUUUGUCGUCUUCUUUCGGGUGAGGGCCCGGAGACGCUUUAGUAGGAUCUGAAGGAGGACAGGAUAUGGCUACAUUGUUAUUACAAAUUGCGAACGAAGUUUAAAAUAAAAAAUUACAACACAAUAAAAACCAUUAGUUAAUACCUAUUUGCCCUUCGGGCUCUGCGCUUUUCUCAGCAGCCUCUGCUACUUUUCUAGCAUCAUGGAUGUCCUUUUCGCUUUUUUGGAUAAUUUCUCGGGCCAUUUCUCGACCACCAUUGUCCCAGACAUCGGUGAAAAUUUUUUCCACCAACCAUGCUAGCUUCGGCUGAAGGAUCUUUUGCAUCUUCGAAGGACAAGGUAGCUUCGGAUUGCGCUAAAAUCUUUACAUGCUCGCAGCCCUUUUUCUCCAAAAUGGUGGCAAUCCCCCUGGCACCCGAAAAAGCACAUAUGUCUUCGCGGCUAUUUAAAAUUUCCUCAAAGGCCUCAGCUUCGUGAUUAAUCCAUUCGAUGGGACCUUCAGGCUUGCCUCUUGUAAAGUUUUCUUCGCUCGAGAAUGCGCCAACGCUGGCGAAGCUAGCUUUCAUUUUCUUAACACACUCCAUAGAUUUGUCAUAGCAUCUUUUCUUGGACGAGCGAAGCUCUUCAACAGUUCCUUCUAAAUGAUUUGCCCAUUGGUCGCUAAGUUCUCGCUUCGUUUCUUCAAGUAUGCGUUCCUCUUUAGCUCUGGCUAGUUGUUUUCGAAGAUCUUCAAUUUCACGCUUCUGAGCCUCAGCUUGACCUUUAAAAGUAGUUUCGUCUUCUUUUAUUCUAUUUAUCAAUGAAUGUAAUAUUUUAUCUUUUUCGAGACCUUCGUUCCUUAGUUCAAUUACUUCGGAACGAAGGUUGCUCAGGGCCAUAACACACCCUUCGUCUUCGGCAUCUUUUUGGGCCCUGAGGGCAUUGCUAAGUAUAAGGCCCUGCAAAGAAAAAUGUGUGUGCGUCAAUAAAUUUAAGCAAACGAAAAAUUUUGGUCUCAAGAAAAAAUACAAAGACCUCAUUUUUUGUACCUUUAAGCUAUUGUACGUCAAGCUGUCGGCCAGCUCGUUUUUCGACAACACCGAGAGCCCGUCUUCUAGUGUUGGGAAUCCGAAGCUCUUGCUCAUCUCCCGACAGACAGAAAUCUCCUUGCUGUCAGGGAGACAAUACAAGAAGUCUUCUUCUCCGCUGCCGUUGAAUAUCAACGCCCCCUUUGGAUAUUUCAGUUUUUAGGUGUAAAACUGGACCUCUUGCUUUUCUUUUUCAGACAACUUUUUCCCUGAAGCAUGUCGAACAAUAUAAUCAAGGACUUUGGGGGAUGCUUCGGGGGCAACAACACUGAUUUCUUCAACAAGAAUUGGCUCCGUCAUUUUUUCUUCCUCGGUUUCCAAGGAUUUUACCUUCGUGGGCUCUGAAGGCCCAGCUUCAGCCUCAGUUUGUUGCUUUGGAGCUUUAGUAUCAAAAAUUUCAGUUUCCGCUUCGGAAGUUUCAACAGUCUUCUUCGGAGUUGUGCUUGAGGACUUAAUUGUCUCCAGAACAUCUAGCACAUUGACCAUUCUUUUUCUUUUCGGAGUCACCGCUGGGCCCUUUUGGUCUUUUAUUGUCUCAACACUUGCUGAAGGACUCAAAAUUUCCAAUAUUUUCGUUCCCUCAGUUCUCGGUUUUUCUGCUUUCUCUGCUUAGGGUGCUUCAGCUUUUUCUUCGAUCUUCAGCACUGAAGUUGGUUCUUUAAUUUCGGUGGCCGAAGAGGUUUCACCGGCGAACUCAGGAACUGUAGCUGGUUCAAUGUAGCGUGGCCGGUGUGUAAGAACCUUUACCCUUUGUCUCUUCGGCGUUGGCUCGAUGGGAGCGGCUGAGGCAGUUUCCUGAGCAGGAGUUGCACUUUUUCUUUUUUGGCCCCGCGCUGGGUAGUGGUAGUCGGGGUACACGAACCCAAUUGCGUCAAACACUCGGUUCAGUCUUUUCUUUUUCCGGCCUCCGAAGGCUGCCGACAAUGCAGUAUCUUCGGCCUUUGAAUAAACCCCAAGUAGUUCAUCACUUACAUUUUCAAUGCUUUUUAGCCAGUCAUCAUCUGGCUCAAUGAAUUUAUCUCCGAACUUGAAAGUAUACUUCAGCCUGAUAAGUCCACCUUUGUCAGCCUCCUUUAUGGUCUCUUGCGCCAAUGUUGGGGACUUGUUCUCAAAUGCUAUGAGUUAAGAACAAGGCAACACAAAAAAUGUUAAACGUUAAAGUCCUUCGUCCUUCGAAGCAUUAUUUCCCUUGAGGAUAUAAUGAUUUUUGGACGAAGGUUAUGAAGGACAUACCUUCAUAAACACAACAUAUAAUAAUGAAGAAGAAAACAUAUGAAAUAUAGAGGAUAACGUAAACAAUUAUAUAUUAUUAUCAACUCAUUUCUAUAUUAUUAUUAUGGAAAAAUAGAAAUGAUAUCAAAUUACAAAUGUACCUUCGGCUUAAAAGAAGGUAAAAGUACAAGCGUGACGCAAAAGCAAAUGCCAAGUCAUUGUGAACAGUACGGGGGCACUGUUCACCUAUUUAUAGGCGCGGGACACAGCCCAUGUAAAAUUACACUCAUGCCCUUUACAUUUGGUAGUAAUUCUAUAGUAAUCUACCGAGGUCUGAAAAACCUUUUUAUCUUUAAGUCGGUUUCCUUUUCUGCUAUCACGCCGAAGCUUUCCUGCUCACAGUUUCGGCGCUGUAUCAACCUUCGUAUUCUUUGGGCUUCUCCUACUGUGGUGCCGAUUCGAGUCCGAAGAUACCUGUUCACACGUUAUACUCCAGAAACAUUGUUAAAUCAUGUUUUUGAGGACCUUCGGAAGCCGAAGGCCCCCAACAGUAGCCCCUCGCAAUAUUAAUUUGCUAGAAUGAUAAAUUUAGAUUGCGACAUGGACGAAGGCCUUAAGCCGAAGGUCCGAAAAAACACCUUCCCUUUGCUAGAAUAACAACAUUCACUGACAAGCGGGGUCUUCCAAUUUUCAAUGCACUGGUGUAUAAAUAAGAGCAUACCACGAGCUCAUUUGAUACGCUUUCUUGCCAUCUGCUCUUGCUUACUUAAUUUUUAGCUCUUGGGCACCAACACUUGCUUGGCUUUUUAAGUUUUUAAGCUUUGGCUUUGAAGAUAGUUUUUUAGCAUUUUCGAAGAUGUCUGAAGAUAAAAAGGCUGCUGUCGAGAUAAAGCUGAGUCUCUCUGAAGAGAAAAACCUGGGGUUUCUUGAAGCAAUGUCGAAAACCAAUACAGAAAAGAUCACCAAAGAGAUUUUAGAAGGUUUAUCUAAAGAUACUGAUGACAGCGACAGUUAUGAUGUGGAUAGUGG
RNAcentral lists this long non-coding RNA (7087 nucleotides) under Zea mays. RNAcentral describes it as "long non-coding RNA (ZMAY_LNC005858)". Lineage: Eukaryota; Viridiplantae; Streptophyta; Magnoliopsida; Poales; Poaceae. The record is from RNAcentral.